RNAcentral lists this ribosomal RNA (253 nucleotides) under uncultured bacterium. RNAcentral describes it as "partial 16S ribosomal RNA". It matches the Rfam family "Bacterial small subunit ribosomal RNA", at positions 524 to 776 of the family's 1533-position model. The record is from RNAcentral.
UACGUAGGGGGCAAGCGUUGUCCGGAAUCAUUGGGCGUAAAGAGCGCGUAGGCGGCCCAGUAAGUCCGCUCUGAAAGUCAGGGGCUCAACCCCUGAAUGCGGGUGGAUACUGCUGGGCUAGAGUCCGGAAGAGGCGAGUGGAAUUCCUGGUGUAGCGGUGGAAUGCGCAGAUAUCAGGAGGAACACCGGUGGCGAAGGCGGGUCUCUGGGCCAUUACUGACGCUGAGGAGCGAAAGCGUGGGGAGCGAACAGG